UACGGAGGUCCCAAGCGUUACUGAGAAUCACUGGGUUUAAAGGGUGCGUAGGUGGUCCGUUAAGUUUGUUGUGAAAUCCCCGGGCUCAACCCGGGAAUUGCUUCGAAUACUGGCGGACUUGAGGCCUGUAGGGGUCACUGGAACAGACGGUGGAGCGGUGAAAUGCGUAGAUAUCGUCUGGAACGCCUGUGGUGAAGACGGGUGACUGGGCAGGUUCUGACACUGAGGCACGAAAGCGUGGGGAGCGAACGGG
RNAcentral lists this ribosomal RNA (253 nucleotides) under uncultured bacterium. Its description in RNAcentral is "partial 16S ribosomal RNA". It matches the Rfam family "Bacterial small subunit ribosomal RNA", at positions 524 to 776 of the family's 1533-position model. The record is from RNAcentral.